Long non-coding RNA from Neopsephotus bourkii (Bourke's parrot), 385 nucleotides. RefSeq lists it as uncharacterized. NCBI's taxonomy places the organism in Eukaryota, Metazoa, Chordata, Aves, Psittaciformes, Psittacidae. The transcript is spliced from 3 exons. The record is from RefSeq and is a predicted model, not a curated record.
CUGUAGGAACACCCUGUGCCCUUUCCUGAAGAUGCUGUUGCUUCUCCCACGGUGCUGCUGCCUCCAGGCCAGGUCCUGAUUCUGUGUUCCCAUCACUGCCCUGGUGGUCGGAUCCUUGGAAGUACCAAGAUUUUCUUCCCAGGAACAAGCUAUCAGCACAAGCACUGCGACUGCAAGGGAUGGCCUUGGUGAUACCAGCCUGCCCCACAAGCCCUGAUUGCCCCGGGAGUGUUGUGAAACCCCACCCAGCCUGUGAUCACUUCAACAAGAUGCUCAGGAAAAACCAGCUAUUGCCUUCCCCGAUUGCCUCCUUCACAUGAGUCUCCAGGCUCAGCAGUGAUGCUGCCUGUCACCGUGGUGGCUUUGGUGACCCAGUGACAAGCAG